Molecule: ribosomal RNA, 403 nt
Filed under: uncultured prokaryote
Description: bacterial SSU rRNA
Rfam family: Bacterial small subunit ribosomal RNA
Source: RNAcentral
UAGGGAAUAUUGCUUAAUGGGCGAAAGCCUGAAGCAGCAACGCCGCGUGAACGAAGAAGGCCUUCGGGUCGUAAAGUUCUUUUACGUGGAAUGAGGAAGGACAGUACCACGAGAAUAAGUCUCGGCUAACUACGUGCCAGCAGCCGCGGUAAAACGUAGGAGACGAGCGUUAUCCGGAUUUACUGGGCGUAAAGAGCGUGUAGGAGGCGCUACAAGUUGGAUGUAAAAGCUCCCGGCUUAACUGGGAGAGGUCGUUCAAGACUGUAGAGCUAGAGUAAGGCAGAGGUAGAUGGAACUCAGGGAGUAGUGGUGAAAUGCGUAGAUAUCCGGAAGAACACCAGAGGCGAAAGCGGCCUCCUGGACCACUCCUGACACUCAGACGCGAAAGCUAGGGUAGCAAACG